UAGAUCAGAAGCGAGAAUGUUGACAUGAGUAGCGACAAACAGGGUGAGAAACCCUGUCGCCGAAAGUCCAAGGGUUCCUGCUUAAAGCUAAUCUGAGCAGGGUAAGCCGGCCCCUAAGGCGAGGCCGAAAGGCGUAGUCGAUGGGAACCAGGUUAAUAUUCCUGGGCCAGUGGGAUGUGACGGAUCGCAGAUGUAGUUUGCCCUUAUCGGAUUGGGUGGGCUGCUGAGCGGUUCCAGGAAAUAGCCCCACAUCAGACCGUACCCUAAACCGACACAGGUGGACUGGUAGAGUAUACCAAGGCGCUUGAGAGAACCACGUUAAAGGAACUCGGCAAAAUGCCUCCGUAAGUUCGCGAGAAGGAGGCCCCAUAUGUACGCAAGUAUGUGUGGGGGGCACAAACUAGGGGGUGGCGACUGUUUACUUAAAACACAGGGCUGUGCGAAGCCGUAAGGCGACGUAUACAGUCUGACGCCUGCCCGGUGCUGGAAGAUUAAGAGGAGGGGUGCAAGCUCUGAAUUGAAGUCCCAGUAAACGGCGGCCGUAACAAUAACGGUCCUAAGGUAGCGAAAUUCCUUGUCGGGUAAGUUCCGACCUGCACGAAUGGCGUAACGAUCUCCCCGCUGUCUCUAACGUGGACUCAGCGAAAUUGAACUGUGUGUCAAGAUGCACACUACCCGCGGUUAGACGGAAAGACCCCAUGAACCUUUACUCCAGCUUUGCACUGGUAUCAGGAUUGUGAUGUGCAGGAUAGGUGGUAGGCAUUGAAGCGGGGACGCCAGUCUUCGUGGAGCCUCCCUUGAGAUACCACCCUUCGCCAUCUUGAUAUCUAACCGCGGCCCGUUAUCCGGGUCCGGGACCCUGCAUGGUGGGGAGUUUGACUGGGGCGGUCGCCUCCCAAACAGUAACGGAGGCGCGCGAUGGUUGGCUCAGACCGGUCGGAAAUCGGUCGUUGAGUGCAAUGGCAGAAGCCAGCCUGACUGCAAGACUGACAAGUCGAGCAGAGACGAAAGUCGGUCAUAGUGAUCCGGUGGUCCCAAGUGGGAGGGCCAUCGCUCAACGGAUAAAAGGUACUCUGGGGAUAACAGGCUGAUGAUGCCCAAGAGUCCAUAUCGACGGCAUCGUUUGGCACCUCGAUGUCGGCUCAUCUCAUCCUGGGGCUGGAGCAGGUCCCAAGGGUAUGGCUGUUCGCCAUUUAAAGAGGUACGUGAGCUGGGUUUAGAACGUCGUGAGACAGUUCGGUCCCUAUCGGCCGUGGGUGCAGGAGACUUGAGAAGAGUUGACCCUAGUACGAGAGGACCGGGUUGAACGAACCACUAGUGGACCAGUUAUCGUGCCAACGGUAGUGCUGGGUAGCUAUGUUCGGACAGGAUAACCGCUGAAGGCAUCUAAGCGGGAAGCCCCCUUCAAAACAAGGUCUCCCUUGAGGGCCGUGGAAGACGACCACGUCGAUAGGCCAGAGGUGUAAGUGCAGCAAUGCAUUCAGCUGACUGGUACUAAUUGCCCUAAAAAA
Molecule: ribosomal RNA, 1511 nt
Filed under: metagenome
Description: bacterial LSU rRNA
Rfam family: Bacterial large subunit ribosomal RNA
Source: RNAcentral